This 433-nucleotide ribosomal RNA is filed under the name uncultured bacterium. Its description in RNAcentral is "partial 16S ribosomal RNA". It matches the Rfam family "Bacterial small subunit ribosomal RNA", at positions 29 to 507 of the family's 1533-position model. The record is from RNAcentral.
AACGAACGCUGGCGGCAUGCCUAACACAUGCAAGUCGAACGGGACCAUCGGAUCUUGUUGCGCACGGGUGCGUAACGCGGGGGAAGCUGCCCGUAGGCACCGAAUAUCUCCGCGUAGGGGGAGCUAAUGCAGGCUAAGGUCUUCGGACCUAAGAUUUGUCGACUUUGGUUGGGCAGGCGAUGGAUGGGUUAGGCGGUAGGGUAAAAGCCUCCCAGGGCGACGAUAGCUAGCUGGUCUGAGAGGAUGAUCAGCCACACUGGGAGUGAGACACGGCCCAGACUCCUACGGGAGGGAGCAAUGGGGAAUAUUGGAAAAUGGGCGGAAGCCUGAUCGAGUUAUGGCGCGUGAGUGAUGAAGGCCUUAGAGUUGUAAAGCUCUUUUAACCGGCAUGAUAAUGACCGUACCGGAAGAAUAAGCUCCGGCUAACUCCGUG